Molecule: transfer RNA, 71 nt
Filed under: Clostridiales bacterium
Lineage: Bacteria; Bacillati; Bacillota; Clostridia; Eubacteriales
Description: tRNA-Glu
Rfam family: tRNA
About the family: Transfer RNA (tRNA) molecules are approximately 80 nucleotides in length. Their secondary structure includes four short double-helical elements and three loops (D, anti-codon, and T loops).
Source: RNAcentral
GGCCCGUUCGUCAAGCGGUAAGACACAGCCCUUUCACGGCUGGCUCAGGGGUUCGAUUCCCCUACGGGUCA